GACGAACGCUGGCGGCGUGCCUAAUACAUGCAAGUUGAGCGCUGAAGGUUGGUACUUGUACCAACUGGAUGAGCAGCGAACGGGUGAGUAACGCGUGGGGAAUCUGCCUUUGAGCAGGGGACAACAUUUGGAAACGAAUGCUAAUACCGCAUAAAAACUUUAAACACAAGUUUUAAGUUUGAAAGAUGCAAUUGCAUCACUCAAAGAUGAUCCCGCGUUGUAUUAGCUAGUUGGUGGGGUAAAGGCUCACCAAGGCGAUGAUACAUAGCCGACCUGAGAGGGUGCUCGGCCACAUUGGGCCUGAGACACGGCCCAAACUCCUACGGGAGGCAGCCGUAGGGCAUCUUCGGCAAUGGACGAAAGUCUGACCGAGCAACGCCGCGUGAGUGAAGAAGGUUUUCGGAUCGUAAAACUCUGUUGGUAGAGAAGAACGUUGGUGAGAGUGGAAAGCUCACCAAGUGACGGUAACUACCCAGAAAGGGACGGCUAACUACGUG
Molecule: ribosomal RNA, 497 nt
Filed under: uncultured bacterium
Lineage: Bacteria
Description: partial 16S ribosomal RNA
Rfam family: Bacterial small subunit ribosomal RNA
Source: RNAcentral